This 261-nucleotide ribosomal RNA is filed under the name uncultured archaeon. RNAcentral describes it as "partial 16S ribosomal RNA". It matches the Rfam family "Archaeal small subunit ribosomal RNA", at positions 748 to 1009 of the family's 1478-position model. The record is from RNAcentral.
UAGCCGUAAACGAUACUCGCUAGGUGUCGGCCACGGUGCGACCGUUGUCGGUGCCGUAGGGAAGCCGUGAAGCGAGCCACCUGGGAAGUACGGCCGCAAGGCUGAAACUUAAAGGAAUUGGCGGGGGAGCACCACAACGGGUGGAGCUUGCGGUCUAAUUGGACUCAACGCCGGGAAGCUCACCGGAUAAGACAGCGGAAUGAUUGCCGGGCUGAAGACCCUGCAUGACCAGCUGAGAGGAGGUGCAUGGCGUAGUCGUGU